UGCAAGUCGAACGGUAAGGCCCCUUUGGGGGUACACGAGUGGCGAACGGGUGAGUAACACGUGAGCAACCUGCCCUUGACUCUGGAAUAACAGUUGGAAACAGCUGCUAAUACUGGAUAUUCAUUGUCCUCCUCCUGGGGGGUGGUGGAAAGCUCCGGCGGUCAGGGAUGGGCUCGCGGCCUAUCAGCUUGUUGGUGAGGUAAUGGCUCACCAAGGCUUCGACGGGUAGCCGGCCUGAGAGGGCGACCGGCCACACUGGGACUGAGAUACGGCCCAGACUCCUACGGGAGGCAGCAGUGGGGAAUAUUGCACAAUGGGCGAAAGCCUGAUGCAGCAACGCCGCGUGCGGGAUGACGGCCUUCGGGUUGUAAACCGCUUUCACCUGUGACGAAGCUAACGUGACGGUAGCAGGAGAAGAAGGACCGGCUAACUACGUGCCAGCAGCCGCGGUGAUACGUAGGGUCCGAGCGUUGUCCGGAAUUAUUGGGCGUAAAGGGCUUGUAGGCGGUUCGUCGCGUCAGAAGUGAAAACUCAGGGCUUAACCCUGAGCCUGCUUUUGAUACGGGCGGACUAGAGGGAUGCAGGGGAGAACGGAAUUCCUGGUGGAGCGGUGGAAUGCGCAGAUAUCAGGAGGAACACCGGUGGCGAAGGCGGUUCUCUGGGCAUUUCCUGACGCUGAGAAGCGAAAGCGUGGGGAGCAAACAGGCUUAGAUACCCUGGUAGUCCACGCCGUAAACGGUGGGCACUAGGUGUGGGGGACAUUCCACGUUCUCCGUGCCGAAGCUAACGCAUUAAGUGCCCCGCCUGGGGAGUACGGCCGCAAGGCUAAAACUCAAAGGAAUUGACGGGGGCCCGCACAAGCGGCGGAGCAUGCGGAUUAAUUCGAUGCAACGCGAAGAACCUUACCUGGGUUUGACAUAUGCCCG
RNAcentral lists this ribosomal RNA (926 nucleotides) under uncultured Friedmanniella sp. RNAcentral's name for it is "bacterial SSU rRNA". It matches the Rfam family "Bacterial small subunit ribosomal RNA", at positions 56 to 994 of the family's 1533-position model. Lineage: Bacteria; Bacillati; Actinomycetota; Actinomycetes; Propionibacteriales; Nocardioidaceae. The record is from RNAcentral.